UAGGAGGCCACCAGAGAGACAGGAUUGCAAGGUUUUAAAUAUGCUAGUGUCAUGAGGUCAUGGAUUUCCUACCUGAAACAGAUAGUGUGACUGCCCUGCUAUAGCCAUGUUUGGCCAGUGUAGGAAUUUUGAGAACAGUGAACACUUAAUACUCAGAUGGCAUUUUGCCACCCCGACAAGGACCAUACCUGCCAUUCCAUUGUAGUUCGCCUUGCCCAGAAGUUUUAAAAUUUUUCUUUCAGCCUGGGAUUUCAAGUGUACUACAGCAUCCUCUUCACCUAUACAAGCGUCUGUUGUUUUAAAAGGAAACUGAGAUGGAGUCUCCCUAUGCUACCUAGGCUGGUCUCCAACUCCUGCACUCAAGUGUUCCUCUUGCCUCAGCCUCCCGUAAGUUAUAAAUUAGUUCAUGUGGGCUGCUCCUCAUAACCCUGCUCAAACACUACUGAGGCAUCAGGAUCUUCAAGAUUCAUAUGAGGAAACUGAAGCGAAAGAAUGUUGACUAAUUUUGUCAAGGUCACACAACUGGUAUAAAAUAAGUUCAACACUGGCAACCAUCUGAUAACCACAGAGAAAUGAGACUGAGGAUAAAACUAAUCUAAAGAGGAUACCAACGAAGCUGUAACCCUCCAGUUACAUAAACCAGUGUCCUGAGGGAGAAGCUGGUGCCCUUUAUCACACAGCUAACAACGCUCCUGGCCCAUGGAUCAGAGAAGUUGAAGGAAAAUACAGAGGAAGUUCUAACAGUGGCAGACCUAAUUACUGCACCAUGCCAAGCAGGUAAUCCAGCAGAAGAAAGGAAUGGAAUCUGAGCUAACCUACCAUGUUUGUACUGGAAGUCCUGCCAACAGCAUUUAAGGAGGCCUGCCUCUCCUGCAGUCAGGUGUGACCAAAGGAGUAUGAGUGAAAGUAAUGUGUGCCUCUACAAAACCUGACGCAUAUGAAGAAACAAACCAUCCAUCCACACCUGAUCCUUGUCUUCUCCAUCUGCCAGCUGAAUGGAGAGAAACAAAGAACUCCUGCUGACCCACACUGGACUAUGACAUGAGCAAGAAGCACACUUUUAUUAUGUUAAGCCACUAAUAUUUUGGGAUUAUUUGUUAGAGCAAUGGAAUCUAUCAUGAUGAAUACAUUUUUUAACAUUCUCAUAUCUUUUCUUUUUUUUUGGCUAAAAUUGAUCCAUAUUCUGCGUACUUGCUUUUGUCACUGAACAUCAUGUAAAUUUUUCCAAAUCUAUUAGUAUAGAGGCUACUCAUUCUUUUUAAUAGGGGUGUAAUAAUCCUAUAUGUAUUGCAGUAUAUAUUUAAUAUGUUAUUAUAUUCAAUAAUUAUGACAGAUGAGUAUUUCUUUGUUUUUAGAUUCUUACUUCUAUAAAUGAUGCUGCAAUAAAUAUUCUUAUACAUCCCCA
This 1405-nucleotide long non-coding RNA is filed under the name Homo sapiens (human). RNAcentral describes it as "HSALNT0180870". Lineage: Eukaryota; Metazoa; Chordata; Mammalia; Primates; Hominidae. The record is from RNAcentral.